RNAcentral lists this ribosomal RNA (253 nucleotides) under uncultured bacterium. RNAcentral describes it as "partial 16S ribosomal RNA". It matches the Rfam family "Bacterial small subunit ribosomal RNA", at positions 524 to 776 of the family's 1533-position model. The record is from RNAcentral.
UACGAAGGGGGCUAGCGUUGUUCGGAAUUACUGGGCGUAAAGCGCGCGUAGGCGGUGAUCCAUGUCAGAGGUGAAAGCCCGGGGCUCAACUCCGGAAUUGCCUUUGAAACGGGAUCGCUAGAGUCCGAGAGAGGAUGGCGGAAUUCCUAGUGUAGAGGUGAAAUUCGUAGAUAUUAGGAAGAACACCGGUGGCGAAGGCGGCUCACUGGCCCGAUACUGACGCUGAGGCACGAAAGCGUGGGGAGCAAACAGG